This is a long non-coding RNA of Zingiber officinale, 1124 nucleotides long. RefSeq lists it as uncharacterized. The transcript has 5 exons. The record is from RefSeq and is a predicted model, not a curated record. Lineage: Eukaryota; Viridiplantae; Streptophyta; Magnoliopsida; Zingiberales; Zingiberaceae.
GACAGAAACAGCGCCUGCCCUUGCCCUAAGCCCUUGAUCUCGAGGCCUUCGAUUCAACUCCGACAAAUCAUCACAGACUUCGCCGACCCUCUUCUUUCUCUGCUUCCCUCCUCCAGCGCUGCAGAGAUCAACAAAAAUGUAGCCCUUCCUUCUCCAAGAAGCAGCCCCGACCCCCUUCUUUCUCUACUUCCCUCCUCCAGCACUCAGACAAUCAAUUCGACUCCGACAGAUCUUCUCAGUCUAUCAUUCAUCUCCUUCGCUUUCGGCACUCAAGCGAUAGACUUCGAGAGAUCAUCCUCGUCUAGCCUUCGUCUCCUUCAUGACCAGCGAUGAGGUGCCUCUUUAACUCCAUCUCCAAAAGCCCUAAUCUGUUUAAUAAGCUCCUCAUCGAUCCUCUUUGUUGUCAGAAGGGGCACCUCUUUUGCAAGUGCCUCCUCGUGCAAAAGGACAUCAAGAGUUAUCUAUUUAGGACGGAAGGCUUGUACUGGAGUAUGAAGAAGGAGUUCAGAAAUUUCCAGCACAAACAAGGAACUAUGCCAAAAUACGUGAAGUAAUCUUAUAUUCUUACAAGCAUUGUCAAAGUUGCUAGUGUUGCCACUAGUAGCAGAAUUGGAGAUUAUGUUGGUGCCGGUGCAAAAAAAGUGGCAAUGUUAGUAAUGUUAACUAGCAACAAACUGCAACUCAGAAACAAUAAAGAGAGACAAAAUGUUGAUAAUCAUAUGCUACACCUUAUUCAUUCAAUCUUCAAUCAUGAUGUCAUGUAGUGGGUGACAAAUUUGCUAGAUGGUGACAGAUUAGCUACAAUAAUGUGAUCUGGGUGACUCGUGUAAGGGGAGGGUGUAUGAAUUUCAAUGCAAUCAACACUUUGGAGUUUGGAAGAUCCAAGAAUUAAAGUUUUAAUAUAUUUGCUCUGAUGAGAAGAACAAAGAAUUAUCACAAGAACUUGAAGAUAUGCAUGUUCUACUAGCAAGAGGAUGGAGGAAGAAAUUAUUAAAAGGAAAAGGAAAUUUAAAUCGUAAUGUUUGAUUGCAUAUAUCUCAAGACGAUGUGAAUAUUUAUUUAUCUCAAUGACAAUUGUAUUGUACUUUGAAUUUAGAAAUUAGUUGUUUUUAAUAUUUUUGAAA